UAUUGGUCAAUGGGCGCGAGCCUGAACCAGCCAAGUCGCGUGAGGGAGGCCGGCCCUACGGGUUGUAAACCUCUUUUGCCGGGGAGCAACGGGCGUCACGUGUGGCGCCACUGAGAGUACCCGGAGAAAAAGCAGCGGCUAACUCCGUGCCAGCCGCCGCGGUAAUACGGAGGAUGCGAGCGUUAUCCGGAUUUAUUGGGUUUAAAGGGGGCGUAGGCGGAUUUGUAAGUCAGCGGUAAAAAUGCGGUGCUCAACGCCGUAUCGCCGUUGAAACUGCAGGUCUUGAGUGAGCGAGAAGUAUGCGGAAUGCGUGGUGUAGCGGUGAAAUGCAUAGAUAUCACGCAGAACUCCGAUUGCGAAGGCAGCAUACCGGCGCUCAACUGACGCUGAGGCACGAAAGCGUGGGGAUCGAACAGG
This 417-nucleotide ribosomal RNA is filed under the name uncultured bacterium. RNAcentral describes it as "bacterial SSU rRNA". It matches the Rfam family "Bacterial small subunit ribosomal RNA", at positions 362 to 776 of the family's 1533-position model. The record is from RNAcentral.